This 270-nucleotide ribosomal RNA is filed under the name uncultured archaeon. RNAcentral describes it as "partial 16S ribosomal RNA". It matches the Rfam family "Archaeal small subunit ribosomal RNA", at positions 477 to 747 of the family's 1478-position model. The record is from RNAcentral.
CAGCACCUCAAGUGGUCAGGAUGAUUAUUGGGCCUAAAGCAUCCGUAGCCGGCGCUGUAAGUUUUCGGUUAAAUCUGUACGCUCAACGUACAGGCUGCCGGGAAUACUGCAGAGCUAGGGAGUGGGAGAGGUAGACGGUACUCGGUAGGAAGGGGUAAAAUCCUUUGAUCUAUCGAUGACCACCUGUGGCGAAGGCGGUCUACCAGAACAUGUCCGACGGUGAGGGAUGAAAGCUGGGGGAGCAAACCGGAUUAGAUACCCGAGUAGUCC